AUGGAUUGCAAACUUAAAUGUAUCUUCUGGAAUGUCCGAGACCUUACCUCGAGGGCGAAACGUUGUGCCGUUCAAUUGGUCAUCUCUGUUGUGUCCCCCAGCAUUGUAUGCCUCCAAGAAACCAAGUUGGAGGUUGUCACGCUCCCCAUCGUCAUCGAGACUCUGGGUCCCAACCUUGCAGAUUUCUACUUCCUCCCCGCGAUCGGUACUUGCGGUGGCAUCCUUCUUGCUUGGCGGCGCAAUGAGAUUUCCAUCUCUAGCCCGUACGUUGGCCAACACCACAUCACGGCUCUCGUUUCUUCCCUCUCCGGCUCCAACCCGUGGUGGAUCACCGGUGUCUAUGGACUGCAAAACGAUGACGGGAAGCUUCUUUUCUUGGCGGACCUUCAAGAGACCCGCGACACUUGCGCCGGCCCCUGGCUAUUGGGGGGCGACUUCAACUUGGUUACCUCGGCCGAACACAAGAGUAAUGGUCGGAUUAACUGGCAUACUUCCAGUCGUUUCCAUCGCUUCAUUGCCGACAUGGAGCUUCGCGACAUUUAUAUGCACGACCGUCGCUACACUUGGUCCAACGAGCGUGACUCUUCGACUCUGGUCCGCAACGAUCGGCUCCUAUGCACCACCGAUUGGGAGUCCACCCAGCAGCAUUGCCUUCUCCGGUGCCUUGCCACCACAGUCUCUGAUCACUGCCCCCUGUUCCUGGAUUGCUUGCCGCACAACACCGACCCGAAGCGGUUCCAUUUUGAACGCUUCUGGGUCAAGCUUGAGGGAUUCUAG
This 777-nucleotide ribosomal RNA is filed under the name Triticum aestivum (bread wheat). RNAcentral describes it as "partial small subunit ribosomal RNA". Lineage: Eukaryota; Viridiplantae; Streptophyta; Magnoliopsida; Poales; Poaceae. The record is from RNAcentral.